This 424-nucleotide ribosomal RNA is filed under the name uncultured bacterium. Its description in RNAcentral is "bacterial SSU rRNA". It matches the Rfam family "Bacterial small subunit ribosomal RNA", at positions 355 to 776 of the family's 1533-position model. The record is from RNAcentral.
UGAGGAAUAUUGGUCAAUGGGCGAGAGCCUGAACCAGCCAAGUAGCGUGCAGGACGACGGCCCUAUGGGUUGUAAACUGCUUUUAUAAGGGAAUAAAGUGGGUCUCGUGAGACUUUUUGAAUGUACCUUAUGAAUAAGGACCGGCCAAUUCCGUUCCAGCAGCCGCGGUAAUACGGAAGGUCCGGGCGUUAUCCGGAUUUAUUGGGUUUAAAGGGAGCGCAGGCCGCCCCUUAAGCGUGUUGUGAAAUGCAGCGGCUCAACCGUGGCACUGCAGCGCGAACUGGGGGGCUUGAGUGCGCCGGAGGUAGGCGGAAUUCGUGGUGUAGCGGUGAAAUGCUUAGAUAUCACGAAGAACUCCGAUUGCGAAGGCAGCCUACCGUAGCGUUACUGACGCUGAGGCUCGAAGGUGCGGGUAUCGAACAGG